RNAcentral lists this ribosomal RNA (497 nucleotides) under uncultured bacterium. Its description in RNAcentral is "partial 16S ribosomal RNA". It matches the Rfam family "Bacterial small subunit ribosomal RNA", at positions 28 to 507 of the family's 1533-position model. The record is from RNAcentral.
GAUGAACGCUGGCGGCGUGCCUAAUACAUGCAAGUCGAGCGAACAGACGAGGAGCUUGCUCCUCUGACGUUAGCGGCGGACGGGUGAGUAACACGUGGAUAACCUACCUAUAAGACUGGGAUAACUUCGGGAAACCGGAGCUAAUACCGGAUAAUAUAUUGAACCGCAUGGUUCAAUAGUGAAAGACGGUUGUGCUGUCACUUAUAGAUGGAUCCGCGCCGAAUUAGCUAGUUGGUAAGGUAACGGCUUACCAAGGCAACGAUGCGUAGCCGACCUGAGAGGGUGAUAGGCCACACGGGAACUGAGACAGGGUCCAGACUCCUACGGGAGGCAGCAGUAGGGAAUCUUCCGCAAUGGGGGAAAGCCUGACGGAGCAACGCGGCGUGAGUGAUGAAGGUCUUCGGAUCGUAAAGCUCUGUUAUUAGGGAAGAACAAAUGUGUAAGUAACUAUGCACGUCUUGACGGUACCUGAACAGAAAGCCACGGCUAACUACGUG